RNAcentral lists this unclassified non-coding RNA (257 nucleotides) under Hevea brasiliensis (rubber tree). The record is from RNAcentral. Lineage: Eukaryota; Viridiplantae; Streptophyta; Magnoliopsida; Malpighiales; Euphorbiaceae.
GUCCUCUUUUCGAAACAUUCCGCAAGGCCCAAAGCCUUGCUGUCCUUAAGUCACCAAUUCACCACAUUGCAGGUCAGCAAACUCAAUUAGAAGUCCACAGAUUAGACCAAUCAAAUAGCGACUAGCUUCAAGCAUCCUAAUAAUGCACAGAUGCUUACAAAGAAAAAAAAAAUGAAAAUUGGCAUUUAUGCUUGACUAAACUAAAAACAAUGCCGACGCCAUGAAAAAAGAAGAACGUAACCAGCAAACCAUGUGCA